Molecule: ribosomal RNA, 495 nt
Filed under: uncultured bacterium
Lineage: Bacteria
Description: bacterial SSU rRNA
Rfam family: Bacterial small subunit ribosomal RNA
Source: RNAcentral
AUGAACGCUAGCGACAGGCCUAACACAUGCAAGUCAGGGGCAGCACAAGGAGCAAUCUGAGGUGGCGACCGGCGCACGGGUGAGUAACACGUAUGCAACCUGCCUGUAAGCGGGGAAUAACCCGUUGAAAGACGGACUAAUACCGCAUAAUACUAAAUUACUGCAUGGUAAUUUAUUUAAACAUUUAUGGCUUACAGAUGGGCAUGCGCAUGAUUAGCUAGUUGGAGAGGUAACGGCUCCCCAAGGCAACGAUCAUUAGGGGUCCUGAGAGGAAGGUCCCCCACACUGGUACUGAGACACGGACCAGACUCCUACGGGAGGCAGCAGUGAGGAAUAUUGGUCAAUGGACGAGAGCCUGAACCAGCCAAGUCGCGUGCAGGAAGAAUGUCCCCUAUGGAUUGUAAACUGCUUUUGCAGGGGAAUAAAGUGCAUCACGUGUGAUGUUUUGUAUGUACUCUGCGAAUAAGGAUCGGCUAACUCCGUGCCAGCAGCCGC